GACGUGGGGUGCAAGCGUUUGUCCGGAUUUACUGGGCGUAAAGCGUGCGCAGGCGGUUUUCCAAGACAGAUGUGAAAUCCCCGGGCUCAACCUGGGAAUGGCAUUUUGUGACUGGAAGGCUAGAGUUGUGUCAGAGGGGGGUAGAAUUCCGACGUGUAGCAGUGAAAUGCGUAGAGAUGUGGAGGAAUACCGAUGGCGAAGGCAGCCCCCUGGGAUAACACUGACGCUCAUGCACGAAAGCGUGGGGAGCAAACAGG
This 257-nucleotide ribosomal RNA is filed under the name uncultured bacterium. Its description in RNAcentral is "partial 16S ribosomal RNA". It matches the Rfam family "Bacterial small subunit ribosomal RNA", at positions 524 to 776 of the family's 1533-position model. The record is from RNAcentral.